Acipenser ruthenus (sterlet) is the source of this 1170-nucleotide non-coding RNA. Lineage: Eukaryota; Metazoa; Chordata; Actinopteri; Acipenseriformes; Acipenseridae. The record is from the annotation of a RefSeq genome assembly.
CGGUACAUUGUCACAAGAAGAGUCACCAUGAUCUCACUCAGUGUUCUGGUCUGUUUACUGAUUGUCUGGACAAAGGAUUCCAGAGGUGACAUUACAGUAGAUCAGUCGCCCCCUGCCAUAUCAGUUGUGCCAGGUCAAACUGUCACUAUAAAGUGUAAAGCCUCCCAGGUUAUUGGUGAUGAUAUGGAGCUAUACCAGCUUAAACCUGGACAUGCACCUAAGAUGUUAAUAUAUAAUGGAAAUACACUUGUCACUGGAACCCCAAGUCGGUUCAGUGGUACCUGGAGUGGAGCUGACCACACUUUCACCAUCAGCAAUGUCCAGAGUGAAGACGAUGCAGAAUACCACUGUGGGCAGAGUGAUGCAUUCCCUUUGACAUUCGGGCAAGGGACCAAGGUGGUGGUAAAAAGCCGAGCGCUGGCUUCCCCGGUUGUCAGUCUGCUACCUCCUUCAGCUGAAGAGCUCUCAAAGAACUGGGCAACGCUUGUGUGCCUGGUCGACAAAUUCUACCCAGACAUCGUCGAAGUCGUGUGGGAAAUCGACGACAAGAGCCAGACAGACGGGAUUCUCAACAGCAAGUCGCUCAAGGCGUCAGACAACACGUACAGCAUGAGCAGCAUCCUCACGCUGACGCGGGCAAAGUGGGAGUCCAGCGAAAAAUACUCCUGCAUCAUCAAGCAUGAAAACUCCGCAGCCCCUAUUGUGAGCACCAUCAAUAGAAGCCAGUGUACAACUGCGUAAAACUAGCUGGGAAGUCAAACCAUUGUCAUUGUUUUAAGAUAUUGGUUUAAAUAUUGCUAGAAAUACAGUAGUAGGCUACACAGUUGUAUACCAUUCUAACAUGUUAGUGCUUUUGGCUGUUUUGGCUUAUUGUUAUGUAAUAUGAAUGACUAACAGAAUAAAAUCUUUAAAAAAAGGAAUAAAUAAAUACAAUUGAAUUUUAAAAAGCAAACAUAUUUCUCUGUAACACCAAUGUUAGAUUAUAAAACAUGUAGCGAUAUGCUGUGUUAGCAUGUUAAGCAUUUGUAACUAAAUUGCUGAAAUGAUAUUUCACUCUAUGGCACAUAUAACAUUGUUUGGGCUUCAGCAUUCCUGUGUAGUAUAGUAUGCUGUUUUAUGUGUGUAUUCAAUAAAAGGAAAAAAAAAUAAACAAAUAAUAAUUCAAGCAAA